Long non-coding RNA from Colossoma macropomum (tambaqui), 420 nucleotides. RefSeq lists it as uncharacterized. The record is from RefSeq and is a predicted model, not a curated record. The transcript is spliced from 3 exons. Lineage: Eukaryota; Metazoa; Chordata; Actinopteri; Characiformes; Serrasalmidae.
GCGAUGACACUGCAGCUGAUCUUUGUUCUCUCCACUCUGAUUUCAACCACAGGAUCCAGUGAUGUGUUCAGACAGGUUGGCGAUUCUGUUAAUCUGGGCAUACAGGAAAAUGUAUCAAAGUCUGAUGACUUAGUCUGGGUUUUUAAUGGAAGUAAUAAUAUUCUAAAAUAUUAUACUGAUACUAAAAAAACCAAACCGUCUCCUGGUUAUGAAGGCAGAGUGGAGUUCAAUGAGGAAACCUACAGUCUGACACUGAAGAACUUACAGAAGACUGAUAGUGGACUGUAUGAAGCAAAAGUGUCUGGUUUUGAAAUCAAACUUGUUGCUAACUACACACUCUCUGUGUUGGAUGCAGCUUCUCCCUCUGCUGGUGCACCUGUGUGUUUGCUGAAGACUGUCCUGUAUUCCAUCAGUCUGAUC